This is a long non-coding RNA of Melitaea cinxia (Glanville fritillary), 359 nucleotides long. RefSeq lists it as uncharacterized. The transcript is spliced from 2 exons. NCBI's taxonomy places the organism in Eukaryota, Metazoa, Arthropoda, Insecta, Lepidoptera, Nymphalidae. The record is from RefSeq and is a predicted model, not a curated record.
AUAAUUUGACAUUUUACUGUGGAAAAAACAAUUCUAUUCACUAUUUCUAGUCGGGUCUGGAAAUAUUCCACGGUAGUCCAUCACUCACGAAUCAAGACUGCUAACCCUUCCGCUAGAGUCGAAGAUGAAUCCUCUAGAGUAGGCCUACAAUGCGGUACACGAUUCAAUUUAAAUUAAAAUGCAAAGCUGAAAUAAAUACAACUGUCCCGAAGAUAUUUUCUGCAAGUUACUAUACAUUUGUUUUAUGAAAUGGCCUAAUCUCUUUACAAGAUUCCGUUCUGUGAUUCCAUAGACAACUCAUUUGCUUUUUAAUUUUGAAUAAUGAAUGAGUUAAUUGAAAAUUACAUUAAAUAUAAAAA